This 253-nucleotide ribosomal RNA is filed under the name uncultured bacterium. RNAcentral's name for it is "partial 16S ribosomal RNA". It matches the Rfam family "Bacterial small subunit ribosomal RNA", at positions 524 to 776 of the family's 1533-position model. The record is from RNAcentral.
UACGUAGGUGGCUAGCGUUAUCCGGAUUUACUGGGCGUAAAGAGCGCGUAGGUGGUUUUUCAAGUCGAAUGUAAAAUCUCCCGGCUCAACUGGGAGGGCGCAUUUGAUACUGUUGGACUUGAGGGCAUUAGAGGAAAGCGGAAUUCCCGGUGUAGUGGUGAAAUGCGUAGAUAUCGGGAGGAACACCAGUGGCGAAGGCGGCUUUCUGGGAUGCACCUGACACUGAGGCGCGAAAGCGUGGGGAGCGAACAGG